RNAcentral lists this ribosomal RNA (1412 nucleotides) under Bacillus sp. AY-2011-RS03. RNAcentral describes it as "bacterial SSU rRNA". It matches the Rfam family "Bacterial small subunit ribosomal RNA". Lineage: Bacteria; Bacillati; Bacillota; Bacilli; Caryophanales; Bacillaceae. The record is from RNAcentral.
GAGCUUGCUCUCGGGUGACGAGCGGCGGACGGGUGAGUAAUGUCUGGGAAACUGCUGAUGGAGGGGGAUAACUACUGGAAACGGUAGCUAAUACCGCAUAACGUCGCAAGACCAAAGUGGGGGACCUUCGGGCCUCAUGCCAUCAGAUGUGCCCAGAUGGGAUUAGCUAGUAGGUGGGGUAACGGCUCACCUAGGCGACGAUCCCUAGCUGGUCUGAGAGGAUGACCAGCCACACUGGAACUGAGACACGGUCCAGACUCCUACGGGAGGCAGCAGUGGGGAAUAUUGCACAAUGGGCGCAAGCCUGAUGCAGCCAUGCCGCGUGUGUGAAGAAGGCCUUCGGGUUGUAAAGCACUUUCAGCGGGGAGGAAGGCGUUAAGGUUAAUAACCUUGUCGAUUGACGUUACCCGCAGAAGAAGCACCGGCUAACUCCGUGCCAGCAGCCGCGGUAAUACGGAGGGUGCAAGCGUUAAUCGGAAUUACUGGGCGUAAAGCGCACGCAGGCGGUCUGUCAAGUCGGAUGUGAAAUCCCCGGGCUCAACCUGGGAACUGCAUUCGAAACUGGCAGGCUAGAGUCUUGUAGAGGGGGGUAGAAUUCCAGGUGUAGCGGUGAAAUGCGUAGAGAUCUGGAGGAAUACCGGUGGCGAAGGCGGCCCCCUGGACAAAGACUGACGCUCAGGUGCGAAAGCGUGGGGAGCAAACAGGAUUAGAUACCCUGGUAGUCCACGCCGUAAACGAUGUCGAUUUGGAGGUUGUGCCCUUGAGGCGUGGCUUCCGGAGCUAACGCGUUAAAUCGACCGCCUGGGGAGUACGGCCGCAAGGUUAAAACUCAAAUGAAUUGACGGGGGCCCGCACAAGCGGUGGAGCAUGUGGUUUAAUUCGAUGCAACGCGAAGAACCUUACCUGGUCUUGACAUCCACAGAACUUUCCAGAGAUGGAUUGGUGCCUUCGGGAACUGUGAGACAGGUGCUGCAUGGCUGUCGUCAGCUCGUGUUGUGAAAUGUUGGGUUAAGUCCCGCAACGAGCGCAACCCUUAUCCUUUGUUGCCAGCGGUUAGGCCGGGAACUCAAAGGAGACUGCCAGUGAUAAACUGGAGGAAGGUGGGGAUGACGUCAAGUCAUCAUGGCCCUUACGACCAGGGCUACACACGUGCUACAAUGGCAUAUACAAAGAGAAGCGACCUCGCGAGAGCAAGCGGACCUCAUAAAGUAUGUCGUAGUCCGGAUUGGAGUCUGCAACUCGACUCCAUGAAGUCGGAAUCGCUAGUAAUCGUAGAUCAGAAUGCUACGGUGAAUACGUUCCCGGGCCUUGUACACACCGCCCGUCACACCAUGGGAGUGGGUUGCAAAAGAAGUAGGUAGCUUAACCUUCGGGAGGGCGCUUACCACUUUGUGAUUCAUGACUGGGGUGAG